GCAUACGGUGGAUGCCUUGGCAGUCAGAGGCGAUGAAAGACGUGGUAGCCUGCGAAAAGCUUCGGGGAGUCGGCAAACAGACUUUGAUCCGGAGAUGUCUGAAUGGGGGAACCCAGCCAUCAUAAGAUGGUUACCUUACACUGAAUACAUAGGUGUAUGGAGCGAACCAGGGGAACUGAAACAUCUAAGUACCCUGAGGAAAAGAAAUCAACCGAGAUUCCCUUAGUAGUGGCGAGCGAACGGGGACUAGCCCUUAAGUGGCUUUGAGAUUAGCGGAACGCUCUGGAAAGUGCGGCCAUAGUGGGUGAUAGCCCUGUACGCGAAAAUCUCUUAGUCAUGAAAUCGAGUAGGACGGAGCACGAGAAACUUUGUCUGAAUAUGGGGGGACCAUCCUCCAAGGCUAAAUACU
RNAcentral lists this ribosomal RNA (409 nucleotides) under uncultured Chaetoceros. Its description in RNAcentral is "partial Bacterial large subunit ribosomal RNA". It matches the Rfam family "Bacterial large subunit ribosomal RNA", at positions 17 to 474 of the family's 2925-position model. The record is from RNAcentral. Lineage: Eukaryota; Bacillariophyta; Thalassiosirophyceae; Chaetocerotales; Chaetocerotaceae.